RNAcentral lists this transfer RNA (72 nucleotides) under Ornithorhynchus anatinus (platypus). It matches the Rfam family "tRNA". From Rfam's summary of the family: Transfer RNA (tRNA) molecules are approximately 80 nucleotides in length. Their secondary structure includes four short double-helical elements and three loops (D, anti-codon, and T loops). Lineage: Eukaryota; Metazoa; Chordata; Mammalia; Monotremata; Ornithorhynchidae. The record is from Rfam by way of RNAcentral.
AGCAGCAUGGCUCGGUGGAAAGAGCCCGGGCUUGGGAGCCCGAGGUCACAGGUUCGAAUCCUGUCUCCGCCA